GCGCCCGUAGCUCAGUUGGAUAGAGCAUCGGCUUGCGGAGCCGAGGGUCGUACGUUCGAGUCGUACCGGGCGCGCCA
This 77-nucleotide transfer RNA is filed under the name Gammaproteobacteria bacterium. RNAcentral describes it as "tRNA-Arg". It matches the Rfam family "tRNA". From Rfam's summary of the family: Transfer RNA (tRNA) molecules are approximately 80 nucleotides in length. Their secondary structure includes four short double-helical elements and three loops (D, anti-codon, and T loops). RNAcentral also lists the same sequence under 2 other names. The record is from RNAcentral. Lineage: Bacteria; Pseudomonadati; Pseudomonadota; Gammaproteobacteria.